UAGAAAUUUAGUACCGCUUUGAUUAUUCUAAAAGCCUGAAGAAAUUUUGAAUUUUCUCCUAUUUCUCAGAAGGUGUUUCAGUGUUUGGAUUAUGGUUUAGAGGGCGAGGGGUUUUCCGUCUACAUAGCGAAAGGUAACGCUCUUCUUCCCUCCGCUCUCUUUGCCGACGCAUCGAACUACGCCGCCGCUUCCCAUCCUUCUCGUAUCCUCUCGUCCUCCGGAGCCAGCUCCCUGCUCCUGUUUGACCAACCAAACCCUAGCUAGGUUUCUUCCCCUUUCGACGCGCUACAUUACAUUAUGAAAGUGUUACAGGCAAAUGCCGGGACUCUCACCAACUAUGAGGUUCUCGAAUUUCUACGCGGGAGAGGCGCGACGAGCGACCCUAUGGGGUGCCUUGGUGCGGCUGCGCCUUCCGAGUGCAAGUCAGAUAAAGGAAUCAAUCAAUGAGUUUUUGAAUAAAACCGAAAAGUUCAAACUUGCAAAAGCGGAGAAGCUCAAUAUCAUAAACCUGCGGCCAUCCAACCCAGCUAUUAUUGAUACGAUUAUAGAAUACAGUGAGAAGUGUCUAGCAAAAGACGACGUUAAAGGGAUAGACGAAGUUCAGGAACUUGUGGAUCUAGUGCUGGAGGUUUUACCACCGCCUUCACCAAGAUCUGAAGAUGAGAUGCAAGGUCAGGAAGAGAUGCCCACUGAGAAAGCAAUGGAAGAAGAUUAGUUUUGUUUACAACAAAUUCUUAGUUCAAUGCUCAAAAGCGAUUGUACAUGGAUUUCAUCAUGCUAAAGAGGAGGUAAAAGAUCUAGGAGGCAGGAGACGAUCUACGAGUAUAUGAUGGUCACAAGGUGCUCACGAUGGCCUUCAAAUUGUCGCAAGCAUCCAAUUAGCUGCAUUUGUGACUGUACUGUUCAACGACUUGUAUAAAGGGAAAAACAAAAUUCUAUACAAGCAGCAAGGUACAGUUUCAGAAAAAAUAUUACUAUUCCUUGUGAUAUUCUACAUCUACCAAUUGGAGAUCAAGUACCUGCUGAUGGUUUUUUUUUAUAUAUAUAUCUGAUUAUUCGUUUCUAAUUAAUGAAUCAAGUCUAAUAGUUGAGAGUGAACAUGCCUGUGUUAUUGCAAAGAAUUCUUUCUUAUGAAGCAGAGCAGGAGGUAGAAUGGUGACAAUCUCUUAUCCUAAACCUAGAAUUAAAGUUGACAGCAUGGUAUCUCACGCUUAAUAACUCAGAUAGCAUGCUGUUUUGUGCUGUUUAUGUACUUUUUCACCCACACUAAGCAUGGGAUGUCGUCUCUUUCACCCACCAUGACCGAGGUCAACAUUGCAACGCGGCUAAAGAAAGAAGGUGACAAUUUCUCCAGGUGAAGUGCUCUGUGAGGAUAAAGCCACAGCGGAAAUAGAGUGCAUAGAAGAAGGAUUUCGUGCCAAGAUAACAUGGUGAUGGAACUAAAGAGAUAAAAGUUGGUGAGGGAGUGGUUGACUAGAUUGGAUCAACAUCACAAGGGGCCUAUUGUAUGUCUAGGUGAAGCUGUUAAGGCUGCAGAUCACACAGGAAAAGUACACUAUCUUGUAACUUAGUUCUCAGAAUAUCACCAAUGUACUGAUUAUAGUUUUGUUGUGCUAUCGCUAUAUACCUUACCAAUUAAUUUCAUCUUCCAAUGUUUGGAACCAGAAACUGUGUUUGAACAUCUUAUGGUCUUUAUACUGUUUUUAAAUUACUGCAGAUGAUAAAGAAGCUUUUUGAUUAAAAAAAAAAGCUUCUAUAACUUGCUCUGUUGGAACAAAACACUAUUAUGAGUUUUUGCUAGCCAAUCACUAUAUGUUCUAUUCUUAAGGUACAACAUCUACUAAUUUGUUCAGCUUAAUACAAGUAUAACAUGUUCAGUUCUUGAACAAGUAAAUUUCUUGCUCAAAACUAUCACAGACUCAAUGUCAUGACCUCCUCAACAGCACUACAAUCUCUUGUGAUCCUGUUAGGCUGGUACCAAAAUUUUGAUGGGAGCAGUUUAGACAAGCUCAUGCCAUCAUAAUAUUACUCAUAAGACACACAAAAGUAAUGAUUCUAAUGUAUCUCACUGCAAAUACUAACUAUAUCGCAUUUGGAAGGUUACAACUUACAAGAUAAUUUUGCAAAUUACAAACCAUAACUGGAUACGUGGGUAUUAAAAUUCUUAGGUGGUUCCCUAUAAAGAAAGUUAUAGUAAUAAUUCCUUUAGCUAGCCAAAAAAAUAAAAUCCUACGCACUCUCUUGUCAAUAAUGUAGAGGCAAGAGAUGGUAGCUAGAAUAGGAAAUUGAUUGCAACAUGUAAAGUUACUAACUACAAUACUAUAAAAAUCUCCGAAUGCUUGAAUACAUUCUCGAAUCUAACUGAAUACUGCUAUCUCGCAAUCAAGAGUAUGGGUAUUACUCUGUGCGCUCCUAGGUAAUUAUAAUAUGGAGCAUAGGAUUACCUCGUGUCUGCUCCAACUUGAAAACAUAAUUUUGUAUAAUUAUUGGUGGUUUAAGCCAUGCAACCAAAAUUGCAAUGAUCCAUGGAUAAUCGAAGAGAGCUUAUCUGCAACCAGAGUAUGUCAUUUUGUAUCAGUGCCAAGUUGUUUUACAAUGUAAUUCUAUUUGACUAUUAACAUAAUUGGGUAUCAACAUACCUUAAUCAGGAACUAUAGCAAAUAGCAUUUGAACCUCAAGUACAAAACACCAUAUAUCAACCUAUCUUAUUGUUAUUGCACAAAGAUGGCAUCUAAGAUAACAUAUAAUGUAAAUUGUCAAUAUGAAUAAUAACUAGCAUGUUAUUAAUAACAAAAAAUAUUGCAAGCAAACCAAGAAAAAGAAAUAGAUACACUGAAAUUAUUCCCAACACUACAUCACAGUUAACAUAACUGACUACUUGAGAUCAAUUUUACCGAACUCAACCUAUAAAAUGCUUGUAUUGAAUUUGCCAUUUAUGAUAAUUUCUCUCCACUAAUCUGUGCCAAUCAUCUUUCCUUUUAACCUAUCAAACACAACAAGCCUCUCUUUAUUUAACACUAUAUCAUAACCCAACACUAGCCUACCUCUCUCACCCUAGUCCUUUGACAAUCUACACAAGUGUUUUAUGACAACAGCUGGUGAUCUCAUUCCUCCCAUGACGAUUUCAAUCACUUUGUUCCAAUUAGUCUUUUCAAUGUAGAAUCGUCCGAGAUAGUAUCCAUACCUAGUUAUGAUUGUUUGUCUGAUUAGUUGCUCACUUGAAUCAAUACCACAUCCUUCGUGGAUACUGUUGUUUACAUCAAAAGACAAAUAGAAAUUGAUUGGAUUCACAUUUUACCCUUUAACACAUCAACCAGAUGAAAUCACGAGCAGAAGAUGAAACAACUCAUUUGGUAAAUAACUAUAAAAUACUAAGAUUCUCAUUGGAUAUAAGUUGCCAAAGAAACUUAAAGCAUGUCUUAAAGUUAUGAAAAAAUAGCAUGAAUAAAAUUACUUUUAAAUCUAAAAUAAAAUUUUUUAAUACAAUAGUUUUGAUAUCAUAUUAAAAUUUAAGAGGAACCUCAAUCAAAUUACAAUUGGCAAAACAUUUAUAUAUAUGUUUUUGUGUCAUUAAGUCCUCAACAUUAGAAUGAAAUUAAAGAGGCAGAGGGUUUUGCUUCAUCUCACUCAUUUUUUUAACAACCGACUGUUGUUAAAAUUGAUGGUCCAAAAUAGAAAUUUAUUGAUCAAAUAAACAACACAUAAAAAAGUGGAAAAUUUUAACAAUUAAAGUUAAUCAAGCUAUUUAAUCAACAAACUAUGUUUCCCUCUUGACACAAAGUUUUUGCACAGUUUAUAUAAUCAAAUAUAUAUGAAAUAUAUAUAAAAUUAAUGAGUAUGGUUAAAAUAGAAUUUAUCAUUGAAUCAAAUUUUAUAAUUUUUUUUUUUUGACUAAGCAGUGUUAGAAUUUUAUAUUAAUGAUAUUAAAAUAAAAUAUAUAGUAAUGAAUGAGGAGUGAAAUUAAUAUUUUAACAAAAAAUAUUAAUUAAAUUUUAGUUAUCUGAUUAUAAAUUAAUUGGAAUGAGAUUUCAUUCUAAUUAAUGAAUUUUAUUCCAGAUUGUUUGAAAGAUAAUUAGGAUGGUUAUCUUUUAAUUAAUAAUAUUAGAUUAAUUACAUUGAUGAAAUUACUUAUGAUCUUGUCAUUAAUAAAAUUAUUAAUGAGUUAUAAUUAUUGAUAAAAUUAAUGAGAUUAAUUUAUAUUUUAAUAAUUUAAAUGUCCAAAUAUGGAUAUGCUCAAUUAACAAUUAUGGUUUCAUUGAUAGUAUUAAAUUUGGGUACAAUUCGGUGUGACUUUGGAUUCAUGUAUGUUUGAGUGUACAGAAAUUUAUAAACCACAUAUGAUACAUGAGGAGCUAGUCUCUACAAGAGCGGUGUAAAAAUAUUCUUCGACACAAUCUUGGCACUAAAAAAAUAUUAUUCGACAAGUAUGUAAAUCCAUCUUGCUAAAAUAAAGACAUUUACUUGGAAAUUUUAUUGAGGAAAAUUGGAAUAUGUUGUAGAAUAGAUUAAUAAAUUUUGAUAUACUGAGUUCUUAAUCCUUUGGAUUUUGGCUUAAUUAUAUUGGCUCGUUUAUCCACUUUCAUUUGGUGCCAGUGGUUAAACCAAUUAAUUCAACAUUUUUAUACAAUCCUAGUUUUUGGUUAUAGUUAGAUAACAUGGUUUAACAUUAGAAACAUUUACAAUCCUUACGAACUAUAAGUAUUUUCUAGCAAGUCAUAUUCUAGCGUUUUCUUUGAAUCUAUAUCAACUUCUAAUGUUUGUCUUUUGACUAAAUUAAUGUUUUGUUCACCUAUGAGGCAUGUUUCUAUUUUCUAGCUUAACUUUAUUGUGUUCUCAAUGAAUGAAUGCAUUACAUUGGUUGGAUCAAGUGUCUAGUACUUCAAAACUAUAUUAUUAUUUUUAUAUAGUGAUGAACAAAUAAAAUAUUGCAUGAAAUAUGAAUUGAGGUUUAAUUGUGGUUGUAUUUUGGAUUUAUAUCGCUGGAGCAACUAAAGACAAUUGAAACCGGAGGGAUGCUUUAAGGAAAUGUUCAAAAUUGAUUGAACUUUUGAUUUUUUAGAAUCAAGUGAAGUUAUGAAGUUGGUUAGUUCUAAAGGAUACUUCAAAGGAUCUUCUAUGCCAUCAAAUAUAAUCAAGUGAAGUUAUGAAGUUGGUUAGUUCUAAAGGAUACUUCAAAGGAUCUUCUAUGCCAGCAUUUGAUGGUAUUGUGAACUGCGACCUUGUUUUAUGUGCUCUUGGUGGACUUAUUGCUCACCUAUCAAUACUAAUGCUGGGUUGCUUUGUACCUCGUGAAGAAUUAUCUUCUGUUGAUACCAUCUUUACACGUUUUGGUGCGACUGAUCGAAACAUGUCCGGUGAAAGCACUUUGUAUGUUUAAUGCUCAAAAGAAGCAUCAGCUCUUUAUAAUGCUACCAAAGAUUGUCUUGUUUUUUUUAUGAGCUUACUGGGGGAACGAGCACAUUUGAUGGUUAUGCGAUUGCCUGUGUAGUUUUUGUUUGCUGAAAUUACCGCAAGUGCUGGCCCAAAGAUAAAACAGCUGAUCAGUCGAAAUUUCACUCCGUCCUGCAUGAGGAAUGGUUGAAAUCGCUCUGAGAUAUUUCAAAGCACAGUGUAAGUCUGAGUGAUGAAGACAUCUGAUAUAUUUUACUCUGUUUGUGGCACGAAAUGAAGAGCUUUUAUAAAAGCCGGUAGUAUCUUCCGAUCACCGCAUCUUAUUUGACAUGCAUUCAUUUUGAAUAGAUUUCCGACCAGGCUACUGAAGGCUUGCAUUUUUUUUUUUGGCAUAGAUGCAGUGCAUUUGCGUUGGAAUAUAAUGUAUCGUGCAUUCUUUUUUGUAAUUAAUACCUAAAAUGCAGUAUUAAGUAAUGUAUUUUUUUUUCUUUUUACCGAUAAUUUGUCAUUAGAAAGGGCCAUGUUUGUUAACAACAAUUUAUUUUUGCUAUUUUUUAUUUAAUGAAUUAAUUUGGAUGUGUAUAUUAA
Long non-coding RNA from Zingiber officinale, 5979 nucleotides. RefSeq lists it as uncharacterized. The transcript has 13 exons. The record is from RefSeq and is a predicted model, not a curated record. Lineage: Eukaryota; Viridiplantae; Streptophyta; Magnoliopsida; Zingiberales; Zingiberaceae.